AGUGAACGCUGGCGGUAGGCCUAACACAUGCAAGUCGAACGGCAGCACAGUAAGAGCUUGCUCUUACGGGUGGCGAGUGGCGGACGGGUGAGGAAUACAUCGGAAUCUACUUUUUCGUGGGGGAUAACGUAGGGAAACUUACGCUAAUACCGCAUACGACCUACGGGUGAAAGCAGGGGAUCUUCGGACCUUGCGCGAUUGAAUGAGCCGAUGUCGAAUUAGCUAGUUGGCGGGGUAAAGGCCCACCAAGGCGACGAUCCGUAGCUGGUCUGAGAGGAUGAUCAGCCACACUGGAACUGAGACACGGUCCAGACUCCUACGGGAGGCAGCAGUGGGGAAUAUUGGACAAUGGGCGCAAGCCUGAUCCAACCAUACCGCGUGGGUGAAGAAGGCCUUCGGGUUGUAAAGCCCUUCUGUUGGGAAAGAAAAGCAGCAGGUUAAUACCCCGCUGUUCUGACGGUACCCAAAGAAUAAGCACCGGCUAACUUCGUG
RNAcentral lists this ribosomal RNA (492 nucleotides) under uncultured bacterium. RNAcentral describes it as "partial 16S ribosomal RNA". It matches the Rfam family "Bacterial small subunit ribosomal RNA", at positions 29 to 507 of the family's 1533-position model. The record is from RNAcentral.